GAUGAACGCUGGCGGCGUGCCUAAUACAUGCAAGUCGAGCGAACAGACGAGGAGCUUGCUCCUUCGACGUUAGCGGCGGACGGGUGAGUAACACGUAGGUAACCUACCUAUAAGACUGGGAUAACUUCGGGAAACCGGAGCUAAUACCGGAUAAUAUUUCGAACCGCAUGGUUCGAUAGUGAAAGAUGGCUUUGCUAUCACUUAUAGAUGGACCUGCGCCGUAUUAGCUAGUUGGUAAGGUAACGGCUUACCAAGGCAACGAUACGUAGCCGACCUGAGAGGGUGAUCGGCCACACUGGAACUGAGACACGGUCCAGACUCCUACGGGAGGCAGCAGUAGGGAAUCUUCCGCAAUGGGCGAAAGCCUGACGGAGCAACGCCGCGUGAGUGAUAAAGGUCUUCGGAUCGUAAAACUCUGUUAUUAGGGAAGAACAAACGUGUAAGUAACUGUGCACGUCUUGACGGUACCUAAUCAGAAAGCCACGGCUAACUACGUG
RNAcentral lists this ribosomal RNA (497 nucleotides) under uncultured bacterium. Its description in RNAcentral is "partial 16S ribosomal RNA". It matches the Rfam family "Bacterial small subunit ribosomal RNA", at positions 28 to 507 of the family's 1533-position model. The record is from RNAcentral.